GUGUACAUGCACACACAGAGGCAUGCAUUUUAGUGAUGACGAAAUUUACAUAGUUAUGAAAAAUGUUUUAGUUUAAUAAAAUCUAUGAGUUCAGGAAUGAACAGAGAUUUGGAUAUCAAUAAUUUGAAGUAAUACUCUCAGGGAACUGCAAGUGGUCAAAUGCUUGCAGAGAGAAGAGAAAACUUUUGCUCUUCCUCCUUUAUGGUCUCAUUUUUGCAUCAUAUACAAUCCUCAGCCCAAGGACUAUUUGCAGGUUACUAGGCUUUAACAAACUUUUUCUGCAAAAAAAUAUAGGUACACCUGUACAAUAUUUUUACCCACUUUUUAGGCUAGCAAUAUGAGUGUCUUUCAGAACCAUCUUACUUGCCAUAAAAUAUAACAUCUGACAAAAUGUUCAGCUACAGUCCUGAACUAGAAUGAGAACAAUUCAAGCAUUUGGAUUAGUAGAUAAUAAACUGUGAUUCAGUUGAUUGAAAGCAAGAAUGAUAGAUAGGAGAGGGAUAUGGAGGAAACAUGGCUUCUUGAUCUCUCUAGUCAUAUACUAUAGAAGAGAUUUUAAAUGGUGAAGGAAAUAGAAGUCUCAACAUACAAGUAAUAGGAAUUUACAGUUUUUCAUCUACUUCAAGGAUAAACAAUAUGUCUAAG
This 645-nucleotide long non-coding RNA is filed under the name Marmota monax (woodchuck). Lineage: Eukaryota; Metazoa; Chordata; Mammalia; Rodentia; Sciuridae. The record is from RNAcentral.